UAUAUCACGGGGGUGUAUUAGUAAUUUAACUAAUAUCAUCAAACCGUUCAAACCCUAUCGGAGUCCCUGGUUUUAUUCCGCGGCAGUUCCACCCAUAAACACACAGACCCUCUACCUUUCUUCCGGCAGCAGCCUCCGCCUCCGGCAGCUUCUUCACUUCGCCGACAAGGAGCUCAACUGAAUUUGCUCUUUUUGUGAUGGCAAAUUCACCAGAUGUGGAUGGAGAUGAUGACUUUAGUGAACUCUACAAGGAAUACACAGGCCCUCCACGAUCGACCACUGUUGUUUCACAAGAGAAGACGAAUACAAAUAAAAGGUCUCAUGCCGGUUCCGAUGAGGAGGAUGAACCUCGUGAUCCCAAUGCUGUGCCAACUGAUUUUACCAGCCGAGAAGCCAAGGUUUGGGAGGCCAAGUCAAAAGCUACAGAGAGGAAUUGGAAGAAGAGAAAAGAGGAAGAAAUGAUCUGCAAAAUAUGUGGUGAAUCAGGCCAUUUUACUCAGGGAUGCCCCUCAACGUUGGGAUCAAGUCGUAAAUCUCAAGAUUUUUUUGAAAGGGUACCAGCCAGGGAUAAACACGUGAGAGCAAUUUUCACUGAUAGAGUAAUACAGAAGAUAGAAAAGGACGUUGGUUGUAAGAUCAAGAUGGAUGAGAAAUUCAUAAUUGUUAGUGGCAAGGACAGGUUAAUUUUGUUAAAGGGAUUGGAUGCAGUCAACAAGUUAAUUAAGGAGGACGGCGAUCAAAAGGGUUCUUCUAGUUCUCAUAUGAGUAAAUCCAGGUCACCUGAUCGAAGCCCUGCUGGUUCAAGAUCACAACGUUCUGAUGUCCAUAGAUCACAUUCUGGUCCUACAAAUGCAUCACAAUUUCAACCUAGGUUUAGCAGACAGGAGAAAGUUGUUGAAAACCGUGCUCGUGAUGAUUUGCAGAAAUAUCCAAGGAGCUCGGUUCAAGCUUAUGGCAAUGACAGAGUUAGAGGUCGUUCAAGCCACUCAAAGUCUCCAGCUCAUCCACCUUAUUCUGGCAGCUCGUUUGGUUCAUAUGAUAGUUAUCAGAACAAGGGUGCAUAUGGUAGAACCGAAGGAUGGGACAAUGAGAGAAGAGGAUCCGAUUUGCAAUCUAGUCGUCAGUUCGAGUAUCCAGCUUUUCCCCAAUCUCUUGAAGAACUGGAGAUGGAGUAUAAAAGGGAAGCAACUGAACUUGGAAAGAUUCGUGAUAAAGAAGAAGAUGAAGAAAAUUAUAAACACCGUGAGACUAUAAGGGAGAUGAGAGAGAGCUACACGAAGAAAUUGACUCAUUUGAGGGGCACACAUGCAAAGCAGUGGGAUGAGUUUCUCCAACUUGAUGCCCAAAGGCGUCAGCAACAAGUGCACCAGCAAAUGGCCGCUUCAAGUUUUGGUGGUUAUAAGCAGCAUAACUAUUCUGAAUAUGAAGGUGGCUCAGUCAAUGCCCAUUACGAAGGGGCUAAUUUGGCGGCCCUCGAUUCAAGAAGCAAGUAUCAAAAUCACAUGGAGAAUUAUCCUUCAAGACCUCAUGGUAAUUUUGGGGAGUUUCAACGUCAGAGGCGCGAUGAUUACGAGAAUGCUUACAAACGAUACUAAUUUGUUAACCAGGAAGAAGUUGGUAAGUAGUCUAACCCUUCAGCCAAAUUAAAAGGAUUUUAGUCAUCUCAUCUUUUUGGUUCGGCUGUAUGAUUGGCAAUACAUAAUCUCCAUGCCGAAUUUCAUAUUACUCCAUAAAGUGCGUGGACUUGAGCCCAUGUCCAUUAAAAGGAUUCAGAUCCAUCUUGGGUAGGGCAUAAUGCUUGGGAGGAACGCCUAAUGAAAGGUAAGUAUGUAUCUUACGGUCUUGGACCAAUUAGCAUUCGUAGUAGCCUACUACCAGUUGUUUUUAUAGUUAAGCUUGAUAGUUCAUCUGGUUCAGAACUUGUUGUAAAGAGCGGCAUGCAAUGCCAUCUUGGAUUUAUUAGUCAGAUGAAGUUCUCAUGAACGGUUGAGAUUUUGAAUUGGUUAUAAAUUGAUACCUUGGCAAACUUUUCUUUCUACUGUUUUCCCUAUCUAAUUGUUGGGAACAAGCGGGAUGACUGUAUUGAAACAGUCCUUCACUGUCAUGGAAGCUCAGGAUAGUUGACCUUUACCGGUUGUUAAGUUUAAAAACUGUUUAUCACUGCUAUCUGGACUUGGGAGUGUUGAAUAGUGUACUAGUUGUGAUCCGUUAUAAAUUGGUAAUGCCACACAGUUCACCGAUUAUGUUUUA
This is an RNA transcript of Cucumis melo (muskmelon), 2250 nucleotides long. RefSeq lists it as uncharacterized. The transcript is spliced from 6 exons. The record is from RefSeq and is a predicted model, not a curated record. Lineage: Eukaryota; Viridiplantae; Streptophyta; Magnoliopsida; Cucurbitales; Cucurbitaceae.